UGCCUUUCAAGAUGAGGCAGAGAUCCUUGUCUUGCAAUGCCCAGUGUGCUAAGCUUUCUCACUUCCAGCAGUGGGGAAGGGUCAGAGAUUGUGUUGUUGUAUGCAUCCUCGGUGGCAUUAUUAACUGGAGCUUUUCAAACAGACGAAGUAUGUUACUGUGGCUAAAUUGUAAUGAAAGAAGAGAUGGCUGUUUGCCAAUAAAUGACUGACAGUGGCUCCAGGGUGUGCGGUGCUGCGUGUUCUGGCUCAGUCCCAGCGAUGCCCUUAACUCUACCACAUGCCAUAUGCAACAAAGUGCAGAGAUGGACUAUAGGCUUCCAGCGAGUUACCACUGCCAAGGAGGAUGCAAAGACAGGCAGUUUCCUGGAUACUGAGCUUAUUCUUGUGUGGAAAGUGCAGUAAAGACACCUUUCUACACUGAAGGAAGCUAAAGUGAGUGUCGAUGGAAAUACUGCUGAUAAAAGUGUGUAUUAAAAAUGAAAAUAGACAAGAGGAUGUUAAGUACAAAAAAGAAGUUACUUCGAUUUGAUGGCUGAGCACAAAUAGCUGCUUACAGGUAAGCUCAGGAAGUGUGAGAGACAAGUGAACGGUGAGGUGGAUUGAGAACUGGCUGACUGGCAGAGCUCGGAUAGUUAUGAUCAGUGACACAAAGUCCAGCUGGAGGCAUGUGGCUAGCGGUGUUCCCCAGGGCAUCCCCUGCUUUCUUGAAGACAAUGUACCAUAUCACCGUGGGGAAAAAAGAAAAGCAGAUUUCUCUGGACAGCAAUCAUCCUUCAGCUUCUAAGAAAGAACAGUCUCACUAGACAAGAUGACAAAGAAAAGUGGCCCCUUGGAUAAGCGACUCAUCACUUCUUCUGCCAUCACUUCUCACGUUAAUUCCAGUGACUACAGUACUACAAUGAAAAUGGAACAUAGGAGUUUUCGUAAGCAUCUACUGGAUCUACCACUUCUUCAGUCACCUUGUCAAGGACCAGUUACUGAUCCCACAUCACAACAGUGGAAUUUAUGAGAGGAGCAAAGAAAAUAACAAAUCCACAUCUUGAGGGAAAGAAGACAUUUGUCUGAAAGUCUGGCUUCAUUUUUGAGAUGGCAGCUGCUUGGAACUGUUGACAGAUUGAGAGUGUUGGAAAUUGUCCUGGGCCAGAUGGAUUAGUGAUCUAAGUUCAGGUGAAGUGGUCAAAGAUGCUUUAUAAAUGCCAUUUCCAACAUAGCUAUCACCACUACAUUGUGGUAUAGGUAACAGAGUUAUUUUAGAACAUGAAACUGAGUUACUGUAGAUAAGUCUCACCUAGUUUAGUUCUUAUAUCUUUCUCCCUGUCUGCUGAAACAAUUGCAGUAAUCUGAAACAUUCCAGCUAGUUCUCCUAAUUGAAUUAGGGUGGGCUGAAGGCAAGAUACCUGGGCAAGGGUAGUAAAGACCUUUUAGUCAAGCAAUCACUUUCAGUCUUUUUCUGUUAUUUCCAGUUAUUCGAAUACAUUGAUCAGAUUCAGAGCCAUGUUAUAAGGAAUUUUCCAAGGAAUAAAAAUGAAUUGAGCAAGCAAGAAAUGAGAAGGGGAGAAAUCGAAGAGUUCCAUGAGAAUUAGGUGGAUUCCUUUUCUCACACUGUUACAUUUAAUUUGUUAUUGUGCAUGCUUUCACAGAUUGCCCACUGUUCCCUGAUGGUCUGAGGAACAUCUCAGAAGUACAGGUUCAGAGAUCCACCUAUCUCCAUUGCUUCCAUUUGUGCCAAAAUCCCAGAAAAUGCGUGGCAGAGACCUCUGUCAAGCAUCGCUUUACCCAACACAGCUUGGUUUGAAAAUAGUCCAGAAGAUCUGUCUGCUGUUCCUGAACCCAAUGCCAAACCAGGUCUGAGCAGGAAGGCUGUAGUUUUCAAGGUAUCUUAAGCAUGUUUUCCCCUGAUUUUACUACACAGGUGAAAAAAUACUUAAAACAUCAGCCAUCAUUGUUUUGAACUGUUAUGAUGUAACAUGCUAUGUUAAACAUGCUGUGAUGUAACAAUUUUGUUCAAAAAUUGAAAUAAAUAGUUGACAUAUUUCACAAAUGAGAUUAGGUCUAAUACAGUAAAAAUAAUAUUUUGUGGAAACUGAGCAACAUUUAAACUGGUUUGUAAGACAUAUAGACUAUUUUGGGCUAAGUAUCAUUUUGAGACCAAGACACUUGAAGUAUAUUAGUUAGCCUCUGUUAAAUUGUUAUUAAAUACAAUAUGUAAUUAAGCUGAAGUAAUCUAAUUAGGCAUCCAACUGACGAGGGUUUCCAGUUGACUGAGAUUUUGCAGUGCCCGUUUUGUACAUGCCAGUAAAUGUUAACCUUCUUUGUGAGCAGCUGACCCUUGAAAAGAUGCCCCACUAAGAGAUCAUAUCAUAUAUAGUAUGGUCUAAACAUAAUCCUGACCGCAGAAAGGUCAAGAUUUUCCACUGUCUUUCAUGUAAAACCUUAGGGACAAUUUAUUUUUCUGUUUCUCAAGCAGAAUUGUUUGUUGAGCUUCCUCUUCUUUGUUUCUGUUUUCUGAAUCUCAAAUUACUAAUUGCAUAUGCAGCAAAGCUAAAGGAGAUUCAAUAGGGUAUUCUGUACUUCAGAGAGGAUUAAACUUCUUCCAUAUAGACCAAUAUUCUCAAAGGGUCUAAUUCGUUACUAUUAAGUGGGAAUGUUGGUUGGUUGUGAAUAGAAGAAUUUCCUGUAUAUACAUGUACAUUUAAAAACUGUUUGGAUAUGGUGCUCAGGGGUACGAGCUGUUAGAGUAGUUAGUAUAAGUAGGCUGCAGUUGGACUUGAUUUUUAAGGUCUUUUCCAACCUGACCAAUUCUAUGACUGUAUGUAUAUGUACAUAAACAUUUAAAUACAGACUAUGUAAAUGUCCAUUCUUGUAGAUGAAAUAAGGCUUAUGCUUCUCUGAGGAAGGCAAGUGAGUGAGGCCUGCAGCACUAUAAAGCGGUGUUCUUAGGGUACGAUGUUAAUAGCUUGCCUAAUUGCCUGAAAGGGAACACUUUAUGUAAACAGUGAUUUCAUGGAAUUUAUGUAUGUCAAAAAGCAAAACAUACCCAGAUAUGAAACUAUAUGUAGUGUAUUGGGUAUUAAGUGGGGUGCUGUAUUUCCUUAAAAAAUAGCCUGAAUAAACUGUCUUCCAAGUGUGCAAUAGCUAGCAGGUGGUGAUUUGAUUGGCAACCAAACAUUCGGUAACAUGUUCAAAAGCUCUUAACAGGAACCAGUUGGUAACUAAAAGAAAACAGGAAAAAAAACAAAUGCUACAAUAUUUGCAAUUUACAAUAUUACCUAUAGACCUGAGAAAGAACUUCUGAAGACUUAUUGAAACUGUAUUUCACAGAGCUAUUACAAGCACAAAACUAGGGUACAUAUUUAGCUAUCUUCUCAGCUGAGUUCUUAAUAAUGGACUUCAGGGCCUUUACCCUACUCUUAGUACUGUUUUAAUAGUUAUAUAGUGUGCACACGUACAAGGGGAGAGUGCUGGCAUCCCUGUCUUUUUUUCUUCCUUUUCUAAUGAAAUGCCUGAACCUUAAGCUAGAGCCAGGUUUCUUCUUGGCUGUACUCCUUCUGGCCCAUGAUGCAGCAUUUCUGGCUGUACUUCAAGAGAAAGGGUGGAGAACAAGUUAACCAAAAUACCUCAUGGCCUAAGCACUUCCAUAACAUAUGAAAGAUAUGGGUUCAAGCAUUCUCAGCUUGAAGAAAGCACAGAACUCAUAAUUCCUUGACGAAUUAGUGGAAUAUUAUAUAAAAGGGUGAUUACUGGAACAUCCGAGUGCUUGUAUGUUAUCACAUUUAACUUUGGAGGAUAUUAAUGUGGAAUUUAUAUGGCUCUCUGCCUAAACCUGGACUACAGCAGAAUGCUAUGAAGGGUAUAACAUACAAUGUUUGCCACUCCAGAACAGGCUCUUUCAAUCAUUCAAGUUGCUUCUGGGCUAAGUGCAGAGAUAGAUUGUAUCUGUAUAGGUUAGUUUUUUCCCCGUGUAUAAAAACCAAUUGAUCACAGAAGGUGUGAAAACAACAAUGUUCAGUGAUUGGCUGUUGUGACUUCAGGUGUUACCUGGGGAAUUUUGCUGUUAUUGUUUUGACAAUAUUAUUUGUAUUACUUUUCUAAGUAAUACAGUAAGAAAAACUUGAGAUUUGGAGAAGUUACAUGUGGGAAAGGAUAUGAUUUUCCUCAAUUGAUUGGCUUCACGGCUCAUGUUCUUUCUGGCAUAUUUUACCUCUAAAAUCUACUGUGUAAGCAAUCCAUGAGCAAAAUAGUUUUACUCCUACAGCUUAAAAAAACCACUGUAUUUGUAUAAAUGCAUUCAGUAUAAUUUUGAAGUUAGUCAUGAUCAAUACAGGGCUACCCUGUUUAAUCAUCAGAUCAAUUAAAACUAAGGAUCUGGUUCUGCCACCACUACAAAGAAAAACAGUUUAGUCUGAGGGGCAGCAUCCAGACUGCUGCUAUCCCUACCUUUAAAUAAAGCACAUGUUCAACUGAAUCAAGGCCCUCAGAAAGCAAGAAGUGCCACAAAUACUUCUGCAUUUGCAACAUUUAAUUUAGCUGUGUUUCCGUGGUCUUAAUGUCCUGAAGCCAUAACAGAAAUAAAAGACUGCUGGCAGACUCCAUUUGAAAUAUUAGAAGAGUAGCCAAAGGCUUACUGUUUAUUUACACACCUAAACAUAAAUAAACCUCUCAUGCACCACUUUUACCCAGAGGCUAAAGCACAUAGUUUUACAGUAAGGUCAUACUUGUCCUCAUGUUUUGGAAGCGUAGUCUCUCUUUUAAGGUUCACAAUUAAUUUUGUUCCAGCUCUGGAUUUGUAAAUCCAUCUACUUUCAAAGAACUCAAAAGCUUCUUAAAAAAUGAAGAUUGCUUUAAUUCACAUGCAGCAUUAAGCCUGAUCUGGAAAAAAAAAAAAAGGCCAUUUAAACCACAUGUACACACAUAAUUUCUUAAGAAUAUGUCAUAGAAUCACAGAAUUGUUUGAGUUGGAAGCAACUCUUAAAUGUCAUCUAGUCCAACUGGAAUGAACAGGGACAUAUGCAGCUUGAUCAGAUUGCUAAGAACCCCGUGCAGCCUGAGUAGCUUGUACAUGGUGACAGCCUCACUCUACUUGUAGAAAUCAUCCCCCUCAGGUUUCAAUGACAGCAUCUAUGUCAUAAUUUUCUAGUAGCAGAAUGUGUAAUUUGAGAGGGCAUUACUUGGUAUUACAGAGGCCAAAGUACUAGAAGAACUGGCAGACAAAAACAUCUUAUUCUGAACGCAGAUGAGAGGUGUAAUACCCUUGCACAUACUGCUGGGAAGAUUAAUAUUUAAACUGAAAAUCAGUAUUGACCACGUUCGUAUUUGAAAAUAAAUAGAAUAUCUAUUCAGUUCAAUUUAAACUUCUUCCUUCUUCGUAUCUGUCUUCCAGUCCAACACUAGCUUGCAGGAAUAACUGUAAGGUUGCUUAAAUUAUUUCUAGAGCCAGGAAGCUGUAGUACUGUGGACAAAGUCUGGAUAAAUAUUCAAGCUACAGGAUAUUGAAUAUAUUUAAGAGUUGGAUGCUAGUCUACAAUACAUACCUCCUGCCGUUCUUCAGGCUGCAGGAGAUAUAAGCUGAUUUAAAGAGUGAAUUUUGGAGCUUCUCUUUGCAUAGUGAGGUUAGCUCGGUGCUGUGUCCUUCUGUAGCAAUGGUGUUCAGAUUCAGACAAGUGAAUGUUGUCAGGGUGGCAUCUCCUCUAUUAAUUCCUGGCCAAACUAAAAGCCUGCAUGGAACAUAGCAACUGAGAUUCCUGACCAAUUUAAUUCUACUGACCUGUCACUCAGCACUAAGAAACCCCUGCUUAAUUUUAAGACCUAGUCUCACAAAAACACUGUAUUCACUAAGUAGACCAGUCUGAAAUGGAUCUACUCACUAAAGGAAAAAUAAAAAUCAAUUCAAUGCAAUAAUCCUCUGAUUCCUCAAGUUAUUUUAGUAAGUAGUUUGUUAUAACCUAGAAUAUUCUGAUCUAAAGCUAACCAUUUAUAAAGCUCAGAUGAGUCUGACCUUCAGGGAAUGUAACCCACUGUUUUGCUUUCUGUUGGUUCAUCACCCAAGCACAGAACUAAACUUUUCCAAAUCUGUCCUAUGCAAUAGCAGAACUGAGCCCAGAGAUUAUUUGUGCCUUAUUCUUCCAUAGGCUUCCUGGGUGCAUUUGUAAGUUGUUUCAGUUCUAUUCUUGUGUUUGUGAACUUCACUGGUUCUAAUGACUAGCUAAGCUUUCCCUUGUCCUCUCUGACCUAGACUAUAGCUUGCUGGGAGUAUGGACUGAGUUCUCUGAAAAACCUCUUCACAACAUCUAGCACAAUGGAGCUCUUAAUAUGUAAGGAUCUAAUACAAUACAAACAUUAGGAGACAUAAUAUGUCAUAUAAGUGACUGGAGCUAAAUUGAGUCACCCUACAGCACUGUAUGCAGACCCUGCAGAGACCUUGCAAUAAGGAGGAAUACAAAAAUGCAGAGUGGUCUUAAGUUUUCUGGAAAUACAGGUUUACCCCUUUCCAUUAAAUAACAAGUAAGCAGAAUGAAUAGGAUGAAGGCCAUAAAACAUGAACACCUUUUUGGGAUUUUUUUUUUUUUUUACCUAGUUGGGAUACAUAUAGUAAGCUCGCUGUUCCUUUAGAACCAAAGACACUAUUUAAAAUGAAAUCAGUUUGUUAAUUCUUUUACUAUAAUAAACUGUUUUUUAUUAGUGGAGUUUACCAAUACUGCCUCUAUCUGGAGAAAUAGCUAUAAAUACCCAGGUGACUUACCAGCUACAUUGUUCUUAGUAUCACAUAGCUGAUGAGGCAUUAGCUUUUCCCACCUUUUUUUUUUUUUUUUUUUUAAUAUGUUCUAUCUUAUGCCAUUGAGACCAGGCCGUAGAAAAUAUUUUUUUUAACAGGAUGUAGCAUGUCCUCUGUUACAUCACUGAGGUGACAGCAGAGCUGCUAAUAAGAGGGAACAUUUACCUCUGAGAUUCUACUUAUUCAUUUCUCCACUCAUUUACUUUAAAUGGCUAAAUCAACAUGAAACUAUGUAUCCAGAAAGUCUAAUACAGUAAUAUUCGACAUAUAUCCCUCCCUGGCACAUUGAUAGACUGUAUUUGGUGGAACUACCUCUUUUCUCAUUCACAAUAGGCUUCCUACAGCUCUGAGAGAGAAAUUAAGGGAAAACUGGAACGCUUCAGUUCCGGGAAGAUCCUAAGAUCAAGAUAAAGCUGUAUUUUAUAAAUAAAUUACAUUUUUGAAACCUUUACAGUUUCUUUUAUGGGAUAGAUUUGGCAUCUUCAAAGUGCUAAUGCAUAAAUGCAUGACAAAGAAAUACUUUCCUAAUGAUUAUUUGCACCUUCCAGGAGUGCAAAGCCAUAGCUUGAUUUUACUUCUACACGUUUCCUCUUUGCUAGUGUGGGGAUUGUUGCUGAAUUUCCCUGUGCUUCAGGGACUUCCUCAGUACUGAAGUGUUUGGGGUUGUUACUUAUUUUGCAAGGAGAUUGUCUUGUAAGCUUACUUACCACUUCUGCACUUUUUCUUUUAGAGUGCAGAGAUAAGGCAGCAUCAUGAAAUGAGGACACUCUUCUUCUGGGUCUAAGUGGAUCUCAUCCUUUCCCUUUCCAUGCCUUGGCUUUCUGUUCCUCCUGACCAUAGGACUAGAAGAUAAUUCCAAUUGGAAGGGAUCUCCGGAGGUUUCUAGUCCAAUCUUCUGCUCAUAAUAGGUUCAGUUCUGAGGUCUUACCAAACUUCUGUCUGUCUAGUGCACACCACCCUGAUUUGAGCAAACUCAUCAGUAAACUGGUACUGACACAGGCCUGUAGUUCCCCAGAUCCUCCUUACAGCCCUUCUUGUAGAUGGGAGUCUCAUCAGCAAGCCCUCAAUCCUCUGGGACCUCUCCAGGUAACCUGGAACACUGAUAGACAGUGGAAAGUGGCUCAGUAAUCACCUCCACCAGCUCCAUCAGCACCCUAGGUGGAGACUGUCCUGUCCCAUGAUCUUGUGAAAGUCCAGCAGCUAACUGUCUCUUCCUGAAUCACCAGGACCAUAUUCUGCAUUCUAUCCUAGAUCUCCAGAUCAGGGCGCGAAGUGCACUGAGGCUAAUUGAUCCAACUAUUAAGAUGUAAAAAAAUCAUUGAGAACCUCAGCUUUUCCUUAUCCACAGUGGUCACAUUCCCUGCUGCAUCAAAUAAAGGAUGGAAAUUCUCCUUGGUUCUUCUCUUACCAUUAAUAUAUCUGUAAAAGGAUUUCUUGUUCUCUUUCAGUGCAGUGGCCAAUGGCCAACCUGAGUCCAAGCCAGACUUUUGCCUUUCUAACUUCCUCCCUGCACGUCUUGCAACUUCUUUGUAGUCUCCCCAAGUAGCCUGUCCCUUCUUCCAGAGGACGUAGGCUCUUUUUCUCCUGGAGUCUCAACAAAAGUUCCUGGUUCAUCCAUACCAACCUUCUUCCUCUCCAGCUCACCUUACAGCACUCAGAAACAGCCUGUUCUUGUGCCUUUAAGAUUAUUGUCUUGAGGAGCAUCCAGGCUUCCUGGACCCCUUUACUCUUCAGGAGCAACUCCCAAAGGAUCCCUGUAACAAGUAUCCUGAACAGGUUAACAUCUACCCUCUGGAAGUUUAAGAUAGUAGUUUUGCUAGUCAGCCUUCUGACAUCACCAAGAUGAAAGAACUGCAUGGGAACUGUUGAGUCACAGCCUGAAUCACUGAUUGAGCACCUGGGAAAAAGACCCAGACAGCCCAAGAGCACAGGUGAAGGCAAUUCACCUAUGCAACCAGAAGGGGUAGAGCCUGGCUCCACCUCUCUUAGACCUCAUUUAAGGGCUGAUUGCCACUGUAAAGAAGUUUCUCUUAAUACCCAACCUAAAACUUUCCUGGUGCUACUUAUGGCUGUAUCCCCUCAUCCUGUCACCAGUGUGAAGAGACCAACCCUGCUCUCACUGCUAACACCUUUCA
Phasianus colchicus (ring-necked pheasant) is the source of this 8907-nucleotide non-coding RNA. The record is from RefSeq and is a predicted model, not a curated record. NCBI's taxonomy places the organism in Eukaryota, Metazoa, Chordata, Aves, Galliformes, Phasianidae.